AGAACAAGAGUAGAUUUCUGUGGUAGAAGUCCCAACACACCAAACUUUUGGGCGAGAAAAGAUUAUGGCAACUGGUGAUUUUAAUGGGCCAGCCAUGCUUGUGUAAUUAAGCCUCCAUAAAAACUGGGAAGAGUAGUGUUUGGAGAGCUUCCUGGUAGUUCCUGGAAGUUGAUGCAUGAUAGUUCCUUGUCUCUUUCCACAUGCUCUGUUGUAACUAUCCAUCCCUUCAUCUGGUCUUCAUCCAUGUCCUCUUUGAUAUCCUCUUAAAUAGACCAGAGUGUUCUCUGAGUUCUAUGAACUGCUCUAACAGGGGAGGGGGGUCUGAAAACCCUGUUUCUGGCCAUUCAGUCAGAAGUGUGGGUAAAAAGUACCAGGGCUUUUUGCCUGGAGCCUGAACUCUUAGGGAAUGUGUCUUAAGUAUGGGAGAAAAUUGCUUUAUCCAGAUAGACCAUAUCAGAGUUAAGUCAAAUUGAAGGACAUCCAGCUGGGAUCCAGCUUGCUUGCUGGUGCAUACAAGAAGACCCAAACACAUCUGGCUGCACACAUCUGGGUUGACUAUUGAGAAAACCAGGAUUGGUUUCCUUCCCUGUGUUAAGCCCACUGUCCAAACCUUGUUUUUAUCCCUAGUACCACAAAAGAAAGAAGGAGAAGGCAGUCCUUUUGUGCCUUGGUUGUUCAGGAAAAACAGUGACUUUUGUCCUAACUAGUGUGUAUAUCCUUCUCCUACCUGUGCCUGCAAGCCACAGCUGAUGGAAGUUAGUGACAAGAGCCCUUAAGUCCUAGUCAGCUCACUCCACUGGAAGCACCAGCGCCAUCUGCACAGCCGCUUUAUAUGAAGGUGAAACCUGAGACUGGAAUGUAAAGAUGAAAGACACUGAGGUCAGGGGACACCUCGGGGAGUCAGCUGGUGGCCAUAACCCUGAGGUUAACGCUUGCUUUCUAGUUAGUAAUGUGUGGUAUAUGGCCCCUGUAGGUAGCCCUGGAGCUGGACUGAUUUUUUUUUCAUUGCCCCACCUAUUUUUAAGGUUCAAACCUCUUCUGAUAAAGUGUGGGAAGUUUAACUGGGAAUUAUUUGAGUAAAAUCAAUCUGGAGGAGUUGUCCAAAAUUCAGAACUAAAAAGGGACUUUUCUGCACGGGCCAUCAACCCCUACUUGGGCUUCCUUAGAUCAUGGUGUGCAGUUUUAUUUGUGUGCUGUUUUAACUUGAGUUGGCGCCUUGAUUUCACAUUUAUCUAAGUCACUGGUUAUGCUCAGCCAGCAGCAGUGUGGCCUUCUGCAAUGACUGUCUAGAAAAUAGAGACCUUAAAGAAGAGAGUCUUGGAGACUUGGAGAGAGUCCCCAGUCUUGGUCUUCAUGGCAGGACAGGCUCAGUAUUCUUAGAAAAAUAAUCUGGGGCUGGAGAGAUGGCUCAGCAGUUAAGAGCAGUGACUGUUCUUCUAGAGAUCCUGAGUUUGACUCCCAGCAACCACAUGGGCUCACAACCAUCUGUAAUGGGAUCCGUUGCCCUCUUCUGGUGUGUCUGAAGACAGCUACAUAUUUAUUCUUAUAAGUAAAUCUUGAAAGAAAGAAAGAGAGAGAGAGAGAGAGAAAGAAAGAGAGAGAUAGAAAGGAAGGAAGAAAACUAAUCUGAGAAUUUACCUUGGUGUGCAUGAUUUUUAUUUUUUAUAUGGCACUUUUUAACUAAUAAAAUAUUCCAAAUGAGAACAAACCAGAGCUUCAAGAACAGUGAGCUGAGGCGAGGCUAAGUAGCCUGCUUCUGUCAGCCUUGGCUUAAAUUAACUAGCUUUUCCUCUAUAAAAAGUCUGAUAAUUCUGUUACUUCGAACUGUGGACAUGAAAGGUACCCAAGUUAAAUUAUCAUGCAGCCAGCAAACAUGUUCAGUGCCUGCCUUCUGGUCUGUAUACUUUGGGAUUACACUGUAAGACCAGGUUGAAAUGGGAUUCACAGGAAAGUACUUACCAGUGUGACUGCAUUGUGGUAGAAUACUCAGGAAAUAGCACCGUUUCUGUUGUUACUGUUGCAUCUAAGUUUAGAACUUCUUGAAUUAGCCAGAAUUAACCAAGAGAAGGAUGAAGAAAUAGUUGGCAUGCCAGCCCAGCAAGGCGAGGCACAUGACGCUGUGGGAUGGAGCCUAACAUACCUGCAUCUGUAGUACAGUAAUGUAUGGUUCCACACAGCGUUCGUUCUUGGGAGGCCUUCAGACAUUAGGAGCAGUAUACAUGUUUAGUCUGUAAAUAAAUGGAUAUAUUUUGUCAAGAAGGCACCGUGAUCAAAAAGUAAUAAUAAUAAUAAUAAGGAAGAAAGGAGAGCAUUCAUGUUUUCAAGGACACAAAGACAUGCCUUUUAAAACUGGUCAAAUGUUAAUUGUGAGCAUAUAGUUCAUAAAAAUUUUCAACAUUGAUAAUAUAACGACUCUAAAGAGAAGCAGUAGAAAGAAGGGCCAGUUUCCAUUAUUUUAUUGAGUUGCAAACGUGAAUUCUGGUGUUCUUAUGAAUGCAGAUUGAUAUUUUCAUGUAGGUGGGAACCUGUGUUGGCGCUAUGGGUCUGUCUUUACAUCUUCCCUCAUUGUGUAUUGCCCUUUUCCUGUGUCCUCAUGCUCCCAGUUCUUCUUAUAAUGGCAGUAAAAGAAACCCUGCCCUGCUAAGUGCCUGUUGGCUUAGCUUUUCACCUGAAUUGUAGAAUAUCAAAAGGCAGUGUACUUUUCUUGUUACAUGUAAAUUAGGCAACUGAAGCAAUGCCUAACAUUUGAAGCACAGUGAGACACAUGUGGCAUAUAUUGCACAGUGAAAAGCAUAAGGCAAAACAUUCAGAUAGUUGAAUCCCAAAGAGGUUAAACAGAGUUUUAAUGUAGGAAAACAUUUAGACCCCAAGAACCUCAGUGUCUUUGUCUCUAAAAUGGGUAUAGUUGUUUUGUGUCCCCUGAGGUGUUUGUAUCUUCUAUGCCUGAUGGAGUGUCCAUUGUAAAUUACUGGUUCAGCACUUAGUUGUUGGCAGAAGGAAAUGAAAGAAGGCAACCCUGAUUGAUUGGUGGAUGGAGCAGCUGCUCUGGGGGGGGGGGGGGGGGGGAGCCCAGAGGCUCCUGAAUUAGAUGGCACAAAUACAUCCUGAGUACGUCACAUUUGUCCUGUCAGUUGCAAGUUCGAUAAAGUGAAUGUUCCUAAAUCUGCAAGCCCUGCCAUUUUAUGAAUAUUAAGGCUAAACAUAUCAGAAAAGCAAACUGACCAGUCAUGACCUUGAAAUGUUAAGGGCUAUAUCAUGAAGGAGGCAGCUGUUUCUUUACUGUCAUUAAAGGUCCAUGCUUGUCUCGGCUCAUUAACUUACCCCCUUGGUUGCAUUGCUUUUUAAUUUUAAAUUUCUCAUGGUCACCAAAUGGCUGUCACAGCCUUUCAGCCAGCUUUAAAGCACCAGUAAUACACUCCUAAUUUUGCUGAGGACACAGAAUCCUUUCCUGUGUCCUCCCCAGGUGUCCCUUCAGGUCUCAUUGAAUUGACCUCAGCUUGGCCACCCAUCCAGAGCUCCCAGCAUCCCUACACAGAAACCCAGACUUUGUCAGCAGGAACAUUUUGGGAGCUGUCUGCCCAGUGACCAGGAGUGGUACUGCACAUAAAACAGUGGAGGGAAAAAGAAAAACAAAAGAUGGACAGGAUUUUUCUGUGGGAUUCUGAUAACCCUAUUAAGGGGUUCAGGAGUUACAAAUCCUGAACUGAGGAUUCUAUUGGUUUUGAAUCUAGGAGGAACACUGGAAAAUACUCUCUGUUGUAUAUGUAAGAGUUUUCAUCCCUACCCCUGCCUUU
This 3794-nucleotide long non-coding RNA is filed under the name Mus musculus (house mouse). Its description in RNAcentral is "long non-coding RNA chr6:66925619-66929413". The record is from RNAcentral. Lineage: Eukaryota; Metazoa; Chordata; Mammalia; Rodentia; Muridae.